This 373-nucleotide transfer-messenger RNA is filed under the name Mesorhizobium sp. It matches the Rfam family "Alphaproteobacteria transfer-messenger RNA". Rfam says of the family: Bacterial tmRNA, also known as 10Sa RNA or SsrA, is named for its dual tRNA and mRNA-like properties. The record is from RNAcentral. Lineage: Bacteria; Pseudomonadati; Pseudomonadota; Alphaproteobacteria; Hyphomicrobiales; Phyllobacteriaceae.
GGCCUUUCAUUUUCCACGAUCGGUCCCUAUAUCUGUUUCGUCGGCUCGACCGACUAUGGCAAUAAACAGGCGAUGAAAUAAGCCGUUCGGACCCGGGGGCGGUACCCGGCGCCUCCACCAAAAACCGCUCUGCGAAGAGCGGCUUUUGCUGGGGGCGAAAUAGGAUCGACGAAGNNNNNNNNNNACGAAGGUGUAAAGAUCGUACUUUUGCCCGGCAUUGUACCACCGUUAUCGGGCUAAACUUAUAGUUGCCAACGACAACUAUGCGGAAGCACGUCUCGCCGCGUAAGCGGUGCGAUAGCUUCAAUUCAAGCCCUAGUGGUUCGCACUUCUAGGCGGGGUUCGGAGGUACCUGGCAACAGAAACCUCCACU